Capra hircus (goat) is the source of this 107-nucleotide small nuclear RNA. NCBI's taxonomy places the organism in Eukaryota, Metazoa, Chordata, Mammalia, Artiodactyla, Bovidae. The record is from Ensembl.
GUGCUCACUUUGGCAGCACAUGUACUAAAAUUGGAACUAUACAGAGAAGACUAGCAUGGCCCCUGCGCAAGGAUGACAUGCAAAUUCGUGAAGUGUUCCGUAUUUAG